RNAcentral lists this long non-coding RNA (230 nucleotides) under Callithrix jacchus (white-tufted-ear marmoset). RNAcentral's name for it is "lncRNA (ENSCJAG00000077167.1)". The record is from RNAcentral. Lineage: Eukaryota; Metazoa; Chordata; Mammalia; Primates; Cebidae.
GCCGGUGAGCCCAGACAGAGUCACGGUUUUCCGAGGCCCUUGAAGAUUCUGCAGCAGAGGAACAGGACUGGAGGUCAGACGAGCAAACUGAACAUCAGAGGGCUUAGCGAUUUGCUUGAGGCACAGCUACCAAGGAUCAGUGACUGAGGUAGGGGGAAAAUAAUCAUCUCUGUCUCACAGAGGAGGAAACUGAAGCUCACAUUGCUGAAAGGGCUUGUCCCAAAUCAUAC